RNAcentral lists this transfer RNA (73 nucleotides) under Erythrobacter sp. RNAcentral describes it as "tRNA-Ile". It matches the Rfam family "tRNA". From Rfam's summary of the family: Transfer RNA (tRNA) molecules are approximately 80 nucleotides in length. Their secondary structure includes four short double-helical elements and three loops (D, anti-codon, and T loops). The record is from RNAcentral. RNAcentral also lists the same sequence under 23 other names. Lineage: Bacteria; Pseudomonadati; Pseudomonadota; Alphaproteobacteria; Sphingomonadales; Erythrobacteraceae.
GCGCCGUUGACCGAUUGGGGAGGUAGCGAACUCAUAAUUCGCCUUCAGGCUGGUUCGAUUCCAGCACGGCGCA